GCCAGCAGCCAUAUCACCCUUCAACUCACAACUGGCAACCCACUAAAGCUAAGCAGGUGUGAGCCUGGUCAGUACCUGGAUGGGAGACCUCCUGGGAAAAACUAAGGCUGCUGCUGGAA
RNAcentral lists this ribosomal RNA (119 nucleotides) under Lepisosteus oculatus (spotted gar). The record is from RNAcentral. Lineage: Eukaryota; Metazoa; Chordata; Actinopteri; Semionotiformes; Lepisosteidae.